This 253-nucleotide ribosomal RNA is filed under the name uncultured Eubacteriales bacterium. RNAcentral's name for it is "uncultured Clostridiales bacterium partial 16S ribosomal RNA". It matches the Rfam family "Bacterial small subunit ribosomal RNA", at positions 524 to 776 of the family's 1533-position model. The record is from RNAcentral. Lineage: Bacteria; Bacillati; Bacillota; Clostridia; Eubacteriales.
UACGUAGGGGGCAAGCGUUGUCCGGAAUGACUGGGCGUAAAGGGAGUGUAGGCGGCUUAUCAAGUUAGAUGUGAAAUCCCGCGGCUUAACCGCGGAACUGCAUCUAAAACUGGUAAGCUGGAGUGCAGGAGAGGUGAGUGGAAUUCCUAGUGUAGCGGUGGAAUGCGUAGAUAUUAGGAGGAACAUCGGUGGCGAAGGCGGCUUACUGGGCUUUUACUGACGCUGAGGCUCGAAAGCGUGGGGAGCAAACAGG